This 468-nucleotide ribosomal RNA is filed under the name uncultured bacterium. RNAcentral describes it as "partial 16S ribosomal RNA". It matches the Rfam family "Bacterial small subunit ribosomal RNA", at positions 28 to 507 of the family's 1533-position model. The record is from RNAcentral.
GACGAACGCUGGCGGCGUGCUUAACACAUGCAAGUCGAACGGAAAGGCCCUGCUUUUGUGGGGUGCUCGAGUGGCGAACGGGUGAGUAACACGUGAGUAACCUGCCCUUGACUUUGGGAUAACUUCAGGAAACUGGGGCUAAUACCGGAUAGGAGCUCCUGCUGCAUGGUGGGGGUUGGAAAGUUUCGGCGGUUGGGGAUGGACUCGCGGCUUAUCAGCUUGUUGGUGGGGUAGUGGCUUACCAAGGCUUUGACGGGUAGCCGGGCUGGGAGGGUGACCGGCCACAUUGGGACUGAGAUACGGCCCAGACUCCUACGGGAGGCAGCAGUGGGGAAUAUUGCACAAUGGGCGGAAGCCUGAUGCAGCAACGCCGCGUGCGGGAUGACGGCCUUCGGGUUGUAAACCGCUUUCGCCUGUGACGAAGCGUGAGUGACGGUAAUGGGUAAAGAAGCACCGGCUAACUACGUG